This 886-nucleotide unclassified non-coding RNA is filed under the name Hevea brasiliensis (rubber tree). Lineage: Eukaryota; Viridiplantae; Streptophyta; Magnoliopsida; Malpighiales; Euphorbiaceae. The record is from RNAcentral.
CCUUGUCCUGGCUUUUUGAUACUUGAUGUUCUUCAAUAACUUGAUCAAGGAAACCAUGCAAUUCUUUGGAAGCCUUUUUCACCUUCCCGGUGAAGCCUGUUAGAACAUCGAGCCAUCCCAAAUAGGGAAAAGAAUCUUUAAAGCUGAAACUUCCCACAAGGUCUAUUGCUCCCCUAACCAAAUCCCCUGAACUGCUCUGAUGACCACUUUCAUUAUCAUAUACUGUACCAAGAGCUGAUCUUGAUACGAUGUUGUUGGAGAUAGUAACAAGCAUCUCACUCAGAUCAACUGGAGAUCCUACAGCGCAUGCAUAGCGCAACUUCUCAACCAGCUUAGCAGUUUCUUCUUUUCUCACAAACUCAAAGUUUUGCACCCUUUUCUGGCUCAAGAGUUCAAGAACGCACACCUUCUUCACCUGUCUCCAAUAUUCACCAUAGGGACAAAAUGCGAGGUUUUGGCACCCAAAGAACAAAGCAUCUCCGGCGCUGGUCUUCGGUCUAUCUGCAAAAGCAACAUCAUGAUUUUUGGUGAUUUCAUGAGCCAUCUCUGCAGUUGAAACUACAAGAGUUGGAACUUUGCCCAAAUGCACAAGCAUAAGAGGGCCAUAUUUGUCGGAGAGGGUUUUGAGGGAUCGAUAGGGGAGAGCGCCUAGUUGGUGAAGGUUUCCAAUGAUUGGUAGCUUUGGGGGUGAUGGAGGUAAUUUGAGUUUGCGAGUUCUAUUGAACCUAAACAGAUAAAUAAAUGAUAAAAGGAGAAGAGAGGCAAUGAGCAGAGGAUUGAAUGGAACAGUUUUGGCAAACUCUUGACACCAUUGAUGCAACAAAGCUACUGUUUCCAUUGCCUUCUUCUAAGACUUUGGACUUGAGUUACAGAGUGCAGACAUACA